GGGUCGAUGAUGACGAGAUAACUGUGCAAUCUGAGGUCUUAAGAACUCGGUGAUGGAGCAUGUUCUGAGAACGGGCUGAGACCG
Non-coding RNA from Suncus etruscus (white-toothed pygmy shrew), 84 nucleotides. RefSeq annotates it as small Cajal body-specific RNA 18. The transcript has a single exon. Lineage: Eukaryota; Metazoa; Chordata; Mammalia; Eulipotyphla; Soricidae. The record is from RefSeq and is a predicted model, not a curated record.